AUUGAACGCUGGCGGUAGGCUUAACACAUGCAAGUCGAACGGUAGCAGCUCUAGCUUGCUAGAGGCUGACGAGUGGCGGACGGGUGAGUAACGCGUAGGAAUCUACCUAAUAGUGGGGGACAACCUGGUGAAAACCAGGCUAAUACCGCAUACGCCCUACGGGGAAAGCGGGGAGUCUUCGGACCUCGCGCUAUUAGAUGAGCCUGCGUUAGAUUAGCUAGUUGGUGGGGUAAAGGACGUCACCAAGGCGACGAUCUAUAGCUGGUCUGAGAGGAUGAUCAGCCACACUGGGACGUGAGACACGGCCCAGACUCCUACGGGAGGCAGCAGUGGGGAAUAUUGCGCAAUGGGCGAAAGCCUGACGCAGCCAUACCGCGUGUGUGAAGAAGGGUUUAGGCUCGUAAAGCACUUUAAGUAAGGGAGGAAGGCCUAAAGUUUAAUACGCUUUAGGAUUGACGUUACCUACAGAAUAAGCACCGGCUAACUCCGUGCCAGCAGCCG
Molecule: ribosomal RNA, 501 nt
Filed under: uncultured bacterium
Lineage: Bacteria
Description: bacterial SSU rRNA
Rfam family: Bacterial small subunit ribosomal RNA
Source: RNAcentral